ACUGAACGCUGGCGGCAGGCUUAACACAUGCAAGUCGAGCGGGGGAAGGUAGCUUGCUACCGGACCUAGCGGCGGACGGGUGAGUAAUGCGUAGGAAUCUGCCUAUGAGUGGGGGACAACAUCGCGAGAGGGAUGCUAAUACCGCAUACGUCCUACGGGAGAAAGCAGGGGAUCUUCGGACCUUGCGCUAAUAGAUGAGCCUAAGUCGGAUUCGCUAGUUGGUGGGGUAAAGGCCUACCAAGGCGCCGCUCUGUAGCGGGUCUGAGAGGAUGAUCCGCCACACUGAGACUGAGACACGGCCCAGACUACUACGGGAGGCAGCAGUGGGGAAUAUUGGACAAUGGGGGGAACCCUGAUCCAGCCAUGCCGCGUGUGUGAAGAAGGCCUUAUGGUUGUAAAGCACUUUAAGCGAGGAGGAGGCUACUCUAGUUAAUACCUAGGGAUAGUGGACGUUACUCGCAGAAUCAGCACCGGCUAACUCUGUGCCAGCCGCCGCAGUAA
Molecule: ribosomal RNA, 501 nt
Filed under: uncultured bacterium
Lineage: Bacteria
Description: partial 16S ribosomal RNA
Rfam family: Bacterial small subunit ribosomal RNA
Source: RNAcentral